GUGCUCGCUUCGGCAACACAUAUACUAAAAUUGGAAUGCUACAGAGAAAGUUAGCAUGGGCCCUGUCCAAGGAUGACACGCAAAUUCAUGAAGGCGAAAAUACGUAU
This is a small nuclear RNA of Suncus etruscus (white-toothed pygmy shrew), 107 nucleotides long. NCBI's taxonomy places the organism in Eukaryota, Metazoa, Chordata, Mammalia, Eulipotyphla, Soricidae. The record is from RefSeq and is a predicted model, not a curated record.